Xenia sp. Carnegie-2017 is the source of this 255-nucleotide long non-coding RNA. RefSeq lists it as uncharacterized. NCBI's taxonomy places the organism in Eukaryota, Metazoa, Cnidaria, Anthozoa, Malacalcyonacea, Xeniidae. The transcript has 3 exons. The record is from RefSeq and is a predicted model, not a curated record.
GAUAUCGUAAGUUUACGACGGCAAGCGACGUUUGGAGCUAUGGAAUUUUACUUUGGGAAAUUAUGUCGUUUGGUCAGAGGCCUUAUUGGGAAUGGGACAACUUUAAAGUCAUGGAAGAAGUAAAUGGAGGAUAUCGUUUGCCCCCACCACCACAAUGUCCUAACGGUGUACACGGUCUUAUGCUUCGUUGCUGGAAUGAAGAGCGAGCAGAAAGACCAACUUUUGCUCAAAUAAAUAUUGUCAUAGAUAGAUGGU